CUCCUGAGCUUGUUUUUCUAUCUACAAAACUGAACCAUUAGAAAAAGGACAAAGUCAAAUGAACCCUGUAAGACAGACAUGUACACAUCACAAUCAAUAUAGUUCACCAAUUGCUAAUAGUAUCCUAGAAAAGACCUUGCUAUGAAAACUUUUUUGAAUAUUUAAUAAUGAAAAUGAGGCUGAGGUCAGAUAAAAUCUGCCAAUAUGAGGAGAUGCUUUGUCCAUGUGGAGAAGGAGACAGAUAUAUACUUAAAUGAUAAUAUUACAAAUCAUCGAUUGAUUGUUGGGUGUUUUAAUGUCAUUUUUAAGCUAUUUCAUGGCGUCUAGUUUUUAUUGGUGGAGGAAGUCGGAAGUGACCAGAGAAAACUAACAACCUUCGGUAGGAAAACUUACAAUCCUAGUCAAUUAAGAUUGGAGUCAACUGUUGACUGGCUAGUGAUUAUGGUAGUAGGACUACUAAGACUACUUGGCCAACGAGGCCCUGUAUUACAUAUCAGGACAAGAACUUGUUAACGCGAUAUGAGUAUGAACCAGGCUUUGUAAAGGAUCAACAUGUUUAGACAUACUGUGCUAGUUCUCAAGGAAAUAGUCUACAUGAAGAUGUCACCAGAAAUGGAAACAUUGACCUGCCUUGGAGUAGACCAGUCUUAUGUAUAACUCCUAAAUGCUACAUAAUAUGCUGUGGACAAAAAUAAUUUUACAAAGAAAAUGAUCAAAUCAUCAGCUUAAAAUUAUCAACAUAUUAGACAUCAUAGAUCAUUUAACAACAUCAUCUAGUAA
Molecule: long non-coding RNA, 780 nt
Filed under: Mytilus galloprovincialis (Mediterranean mussel)
Lineage: Eukaryota; Metazoa; Mollusca; Bivalvia; Mytilida; Mytilidae
Source: RNAcentral